CGGUGCGUAGCUCAAUGGUCUGAGCGCUUAGCUAACGCUAAGAGGCAAGCGGGUUCGAGCCCCGUCGCACCAA
RNAcentral lists this transfer RNA (73 nucleotides) under Candidatus Melainabacteria bacterium. Its description in RNAcentral is "tRNA-OTHER". It matches the Rfam family "tRNA". From Rfam's summary of the family: Transfer RNA (tRNA) molecules are approximately 80 nucleotides in length. Lineage: Bacteria; Bacillati; Candidatus Melainabacteria. The record is from RNAcentral.